UACGUAGGUGGCAAGCGUUGUCCGGAUUUACUGGGCGUAAAGCGUAUGCAGGCGGAUUGUUAAGUAGGAAGUGAAAGGUUGGAGCUCAACUCUAACACUGCUCCCUAUACUGGCAGUCUUGAGUGGCGGAGAGGAAGACGGAACGACACGUGUAGCGGUGAAAUGCGUUGAUAUGUGUCGGAACACCAAUGGCGAAAGCAGUCUUCUGGACGCAAACUGACGCUGAGAUACGAAAGCCAAGGUAGCAAACAGG
RNAcentral lists this ribosomal RNA (253 nucleotides) under uncultured bacterium. RNAcentral's name for it is "partial 16S ribosomal RNA". It matches the Rfam family "Bacterial small subunit ribosomal RNA", at positions 524 to 776 of the family's 1533-position model. The record is from RNAcentral.